This 305-nucleotide ribosomal RNA is filed under the name uncultured bacterium. Its description in RNAcentral is "bacterial SSU rRNA". It matches the Rfam family "Bacterial small subunit ribosomal RNA", at positions 29 to 325 of the family's 1533-position model. The record is from RNAcentral.
AACGAACGCUGGCGGCGCGCCUAAUACAUGCAAGUCGAGCGAGAAGACGUAGCAAUACGUUUGUAAAGCGGCGAACGGGUGAGGAAUACAUGGGUAACCUACCCUCAAGUGGGGAAUAACCAGCCGAAAGGUUAGCUAAUACCGCGUACGCUCCUUGGACUUCGGUUCAGGGAGGAAAGCGAUACCGUGGGUAUCGCGCUCUUGGAUGGGCUCAUGUCCUAUCAGCUUGUUGGUGAGGAACGGCUCACCAAGGCUUCGACGGGUAGCUGGUCUGAGAGGACAAUCAGCCACACUGGCACUGCGAC